UGGGGAAUUUUCCGCAAUGGGCGAAAGCCUGACGGAGCAAUGCCGCGUGGAGGUGGAAGGCCUACGGGUCGUCAACUUCUUUUCUCGGAGAAGAAACAAUGACGGUACCUGAGGAAUAAGCAUCGGCUAACUCUGUCCCAG
This 141-nucleotide ribosomal RNA is filed under the name uncultured bacterium. RNAcentral describes it as "partial 16S rRNA". It matches the Rfam family "Bacterial small subunit ribosomal RNA", at positions 355 to 511 of the family's 1533-position model. The record is from RNAcentral.